This 211-nucleotide ribosomal RNA is filed under the name Ligilactobacillus sp. UO.C109. RNAcentral describes it as "partial 16S ribosomal RNA". It matches the Rfam family "Bacterial small subunit ribosomal RNA", at positions 76 to 280 of the family's 1533-position model. The record is from RNAcentral. Lineage: Bacteria; Bacillati; Bacillota; Bacilli; Lactobacillales; Lactobacillaceae.
GUCGACUGACUGGUCUGGGAGUGGCGGACGGGUGAGUAACACGUGGGUAACCUGCCUAAAAGAAGGGGAUAACACUUGGAAACAGGUGCUAAUACCGUAUAUCUCUAAGGAUCGCAUGAUCCUUAGAUGAAAGAUGGUUCUGCUAUCGCUUUUAGAUGGACCCGCGGCGUAUUAACUAGUUGGUGGGGUAACGGCCUACCAAGGUGAUGAU